GAUGAACGCUGGCGGCGUGCCUAACACAUGCAAGUCGAACGGACGAGAAGAGCUUGCUCUUCGAGUUAGUGGCGGACGGGUGAGUAACGCGUGAGCAAUCUGCCUUUCAGAGGGGGGAUAACAUUGGGAAACCGGUGCUAAUACCGCAUGAUGUGCGAGGGUCGCAUGACUCUUGUACCAAAGAUUUAUCGGCAAAGGAUGGGCCUGCGUCUGAUUAGCUAGUUGGUGAGGUAACGGCUCACCAAGGCGACGAUCAGUAGCCGACCUGAGAGGGUGAUCGGCCACAUUGGAACUGAGACACGGUCCAAACUCCUACGGGAGGCAGCAGUGGGGAAUAUUGCACAAUGGGCGAAAGCCUGAUGCAGCAACGCCGCGUGAGCGAAGAAGGCCUUCGGGUUGUAAAGCUCUGUCCUUGGGGAAGAUAAUGACGGUACCCUUGGAGGAAGCCCCGGCUAACUACGUG
RNAcentral lists this ribosomal RNA (463 nucleotides) under uncultured bacterium. RNAcentral's name for it is "bacterial SSU rRNA". It matches the Rfam family "Bacterial small subunit ribosomal RNA", at positions 28 to 507 of the family's 1533-position model. The record is from RNAcentral.